This 29-nucleotide non-coding RNA is filed under the name Rattus norvegicus (Norway rat). Lineage: Eukaryota; Metazoa; Chordata; Mammalia; Rodentia; Muridae. The record is from RNAcentral.
UGCUUCAGUAUCCGAUGGGACUUCAGAAU